Small nuclear RNA from Bos grunniens (domestic yak), 99 nucleotides. NCBI's taxonomy places the organism in Eukaryota, Metazoa, Chordata, Mammalia, Artiodactyla, Bovidae. The record is from Ensembl.
GUGCUUGGUUUGGCAGCACAUAUAUUGAAAUCAGAAUGAUACAGAGGUUAGCAUGGCCGCUGCACAUGGAUGAUACAGAAAUUCAUGAACUGUUCUUUU